RNAcentral lists this ribosomal RNA (301 nucleotides) under uncultured bacterium. RNAcentral's name for it is "partial 16S ribosomal RNA". It matches the Rfam family "Bacterial small subunit ribosomal RNA", at positions 509 to 807 of the family's 1533-position model. The record is from RNAcentral.
CAGUCGCCACGGUAAUACGGAGGGUGCAAGCGUUAUCCGGAUUUAUUGGGUUUAAAGGGUCCGUAGGCGGAUCUGUAAGUCAGUGGUGAAAUCUCACAGCUUAACUGUGAAACUGCCAUUGAUACUGCAGGUCUUGAGUAAAUUUGAAGUGGCUGGAAUAAGUAGUGUAGCGGUGAAAUGCAUAGAUAUUACUUAGAACACCAAUUGCGAAGGCAGGUCACUAAGAUUUAACUGACGCUGAUGGACGAAAGCGUGGGGAGCGAACAGGAUUAGAUACCCCUGUAGUCCCUGUCUCUUAUAC